CCUACGGGUGGCAGCAGUGAGGAAUAUUGGUCAAUGGACGAGAGUCUGAACCAGCCAAGUAGCGUGAAGGAUGACUGCCCUAUGGGUUGUAAACUUCUUUUAUAUGGGAAUAAAAUGUUCCACGUGUGGGAUUUUGUAGGUACCAUAUGAAUAAGGAUCGGCUAAUUCCGUGCCAGCAGCCGCGGUAAUACGGAGGAUCCGAGCGUUAUCCGGAUUUAUUGGGUUUAAAGGGAGCGUAGGUGGAUUGUUAAGUCAGUUGUGAAAGUUUGCGGCUCAACCGUAACAUUGCAGUUGAAACUGGCAUUCUUGAGUACAGUAGAGGUGGGCGGAAUUCGUGGUGUAGCGGUGAAAUGCUUAGAUAUCACGAAGAACUCCGAUUGCGAAGGCAGCUCACUGGACUGCAACUGACGCUGAAGCUCGAAGGUGUGGGUAUCGAACAGGAUUAGAUACCCGGGUAGUC
This 460-nucleotide ribosomal RNA is filed under the name uncultured bacterium. RNAcentral describes it as "partial 16S ribosomal RNA". It matches the Rfam family "Bacterial small subunit ribosomal RNA", at positions 338 to 795 of the family's 1533-position model. The record is from RNAcentral.